Long non-coding RNA from Chrysolophus pictus (golden pheasant), 2301 nucleotides. The record is from Ensembl. NCBI's taxonomy places the organism in Eukaryota, Metazoa, Chordata, Aves, Galliformes, Phasianidae.
GGUGCAUUUGGGGUUCCAUUCUCCUUCCUCUGCCCAUUAUGGGGCACAUUUGGGGUCCCACCCUUCCUUGGGGUCCCACCCUUCUUUGGGGUCCCACCCUUUUUCCCCCCGGCCCUAUGGGGCACAUUUGGGGUGCGGUGCCGUUGCUGUGGGUCGCGACGCCGUCGUUUCCUCUGUGGGGCCGAACCCGAAAGACUUGGGGUCGUUUUUGGGAACAGAUCUGGGGGGGAAAAAAAAAAGACACCGAAAACCCCCAAAUCAGUGGGGCAGACCGUCACAAAUCUGUGGGGCAGGACCCCAAAAUGUGUGGGGCAGGACCCCAAAAUCAGUGGGGCAGGACCCCAAAAUCAGUGGGGCAGGACCCCAAGGCGGUGCUGCUGUCAGAGCGUUUACUUUGAACCCAAAUCACGGGCAGCUCACGGCUUCGCUUCAUCACUCAGCCAAAGGAGAAAUGGGGCGGGGGGUCCUGUGACCUUCCAGGACCUUUCCAACCCAACCCAACCAUCCCGUGGUCCUGUGACCUUUCAGGACCUUCCCAACCCACCCCACCCAUCCCAUGGUUCUGUAAUCUUCCAGGACCUUUCCAACCCAACCCAACCAUUCUGUGGGUCUUUAAUCUUCCAGGACCUUCCCAACCCAACCCAAUCAUCCUACAGUUCUGUGACCUUCCAGGACCUUCCCCAUCCCAACCCAACCCCAACCCAAUCAUCCCGUGGUCCUGUGACCUUCCAGGACUUUCCCAACCCCAACCCAAUCAUCCCGUGGUUCUGUGACCUCCCAGGACCUUCCCAACCCCACCCCAAUCAUCCCCGUGGUCCUGUGACCUUCCAGGACCUUCCCCAUCCCAACCCAACCCCAACCCAACCAUCCCGUGGUCCUGUGACCUUCCAGGACUUUCCCAACCCCAACCCAAUCAUCCCGUGGUUCUGUGACCUCCCAGGACCUUCCCAACCCCACCCCAAUCAUCCCCGUGGUCCUGUGACCUUCCAGGACCUUCCCCAUCCCAACCCAACCCCAACCCAACCAUCCCGUGGUCCUGUGACCUUCCAGGACUUUCCCAACCCCAACCCAAUCAUCCCGUGGUUCUGUGACCUCCCAGGACCUUCCCAACCCCACCCCAAUCAUCCCCGUGGUCCUGUGACCUUCCAGGACCUUCCCCAUCCCAACCCAACCCCAACCCAACCAUCCCGUGGUCCUGUGACCUUCCAGGACUUUCCCAACCCCAACCCAAUCAUCCCGUGGUUCUGUGACCUCCCAGGACCUUCCCAACCCCACCCCAAUCAUCCCCGUGGUCCUGUGACCUUCCAGGACCUUCCCCAUCCCAACCCAACCCCAACCCAACCAUCCCGUGGUCCUGUGACCUUCCAGGACUUUCCCAACCCCAACCCAAUCAUCCCGUGGUUCUGUGACCUCCCAGGACCUUCCCAACCCCACCCCAAUCAUCCCCGUGGUCCUGUGACCUUCCAGGACCUUCCCCAUCCCAACCCAACCCCAACCCAACCAUCCCGUGGUCCUGUGACCUUCCAGGACUUUCCCAACCCCAACCCAAUCAUCCCGUGGUUCUGUGACCUCCCAGGACCUUCCCAACCCCACCCCAAUCAUCCCCGUGGUCCUGUGACCUUCCAGGACCUUCCCCAUCCCAACCCAACCCCAACCCAACCAUCCCGUGGUCCUGUGACCUUCCAGGACUUUCCCAACCCCAACCCAAUCAUCCCGUGGUUCUGUGACCUCCCAGGACCUUCCCAACCCCACCCCAAUCAUCCCCGUGGUCCUGUGACCUUCCAGGACCUUCCCCAUCCCAACCCAACCCCAACCCAACCAUCCCGUGGUCCUGUGACCUUCCAGGACUUUCCCAACCCCAACCCAAUCAUCCCGUGGUUCUGUGACCUCCCAGGACCUUCCCAACCCCACCCCAAUCAUCCCCGUGGUCCUGUGACCUUCCAGGACCUUCCCCAUCCCAACCCAACCCCAACCCAACCAUCCCGUGGUCCUGUGACCUUCCAGGACUUUCCCAACCCCAACCCAAUCAUCCCGUGGUUCUGUGACCUCCCAGGACCUUCCCAACCCCACCCCAAUCAUCCCCGUGGUCCUGUGACCUUCCAGGACCUUCCCCAUCCCAACCCAACCCCAACCCAACCAUCCCGUGGUCCUGUGACCUUCCAGGACUUUCCCAACCCCAACCCAAUCAUCCCGUGGUUCUGUGACCCAUAUGGGGCUCUGCCCCCUCCCCGCACAGAUUUGGGCUCAGCCCCACACAUUUGGGUUCAGCCCCCCAUUUUUGGCUCAGCCCCACACAUUUGA